This 359-nucleotide ribosomal RNA is filed under the name Nocardioidaceae bacterium. Its description in RNAcentral is "partial 23S ribosomal RNA". It matches the Rfam family "Bacterial large subunit ribosomal RNA", at positions 2571 to 2925 of the family's 2925-position model. The record is from RNAcentral. Lineage: Bacteria; Bacillati; Actinomycetota; Actinomycetes; Propionibacteriales; Nocardioidaceae.
GUUGGGCUGUUCGCCCAUUAAAGCGGCACGCGAGCUGGGUUUAGAACGUCGUGAGACAGUUCGGUCCCUAUCCGCCGCGCGCGUAAGAAACUUGAGAAGGGCUGUCCCUAGUACGAGAGGACCGGGAUGGACGAACCUCUGGUGUGCCAGUUGUUCCGCCAGGAGCACGGCUGGUUAGCUACGUUCGGAAGUGAUAACCGCUGAAAGCAUCUAAGCGGGAAGCACGCUUCGAGAUGAGGUUUCUCACCGGGUCAACCGGGUAAGGCCCCCAGCAGAACACUGGGUUGAUAGGCCGGAGGUGGAAGGCAGCAAUGCACGCAGCCGACCGGUACUAAUAGGCCGAGGGCUUGUCUUCUUCU